This is a long non-coding RNA of Boleophthalmus pectinirostris (great blue-spotted mudskipper), 585 nucleotides long. RefSeq lists it as uncharacterized. The transcript is spliced from 4 exons. The record is from RefSeq and is a predicted model, not a curated record. NCBI's taxonomy places the organism in Eukaryota, Metazoa, Chordata, Actinopteri, Gobiiformes, Gobiidae.
AGUUACCCUACUAGCAUCAGGAUCCGCAGCGGAUCCGCUUUCGGUCCGCCAAAUCCGCCCCACAGUCCGUCCGCUUUGCGGAUCCGCUGCGUAUUUGUUCCGUAUUCGCUUUCUGACUGUUGCUAACCCUAACCCUUGGAUGGCCUGCUGUUACAGAGAGAAUCUGCGGUUAAAUCAUCUUAGAUCCGCACUGUGAACGUACUUUUAACACAACACUUUUGUUUUUUGACACAAUGAUUUGUACUAUUAAUGCGCGGAUCCGCGGGUAACCCGGUUCGGAUUCGCUGCGCGGACGCGCCACUGACUCAUGAGCCGUUAUCAGAACCUGAGAGAAAGAAACAACAUCCACCUGUUGUCCGUGGAUUUCACUUUUUGACAAGUGCAGUAGGAAAGUUAGCGACAGGAGCAGCUAACGUGAUGAAGACGAUGUGAGGUCAGGAGUCAGGAUAACUCCAUCUCUUGAGAUGACAUCAGGACCCUGUCCUUCUGCUGAGUGUCUCCAUCAGGAGCCCGGCACGCUGAUCAGAAAAUAUACUAUGGUUAAUAAGAAGAUGGACAGAACAGCAUGAUAAAGACCCUCUGGAG